Chrysolophus pictus (golden pheasant) is the source of this 1522-nucleotide long non-coding RNA. NCBI's taxonomy places the organism in Eukaryota, Metazoa, Chordata, Aves, Galliformes, Phasianidae. The record is from Ensembl.
GAAAAGUAGUAAGAAAGGAAAAACUCUAUUAGAGAGUUUCCAAAGGAUGAUUACAAAGAUGGUGAUGCAUCUGGAGAAACAAGGCUUACAGGGAGCAGCUGAGGUGCCUGGCUGCGCUCAGCCCAGAGUAAAGGAGCUGAGGGGAGGCCUGAUGGCGGCUGCAGCUCCUCACAGGGAGCGGAGGGGCAGCGCUGAGCUCUGCUCUGUGUGACAGCGACAGGGCCCGAGGGAACGGCAUGGAGCUGCGUCAGGGGAGGGCAGCUGGGGUCAGGGAAUGGUUCUGCACCAGAGGGCGGUGGGCAUGGAACGGGCUGCACAGGGCUGUGGGCACGGCCCCGAGUGCCGGAGUUCAAAGAGCAUCUGGGCACCGCUAUUGGACACUGCAUUGGGUUUGGGUGGUGCUGUGCGGAGCCGGGGGCUGCACUCAGUGAUCCAUGUGGGUCCGUCCAACUUGGGAUAUUCUCUGACUCUGAUUCGGUUGUUUGAAAUUGCAAAUCUCAAAAAACAAACAAACAAAAAGCCAAAAACAUAAAAGCGAGAGCGCGGCCGGUAACCCUCCCCACUCGGCCGACCUGCCCCCACAUCCCACGCACGGCCCCGCACCGCCGCGGCUCCCCCACCCCCUCUGCUCGCGGGGGGGGCNNNNNNNNNNNNNNNNNNNNNNNNNNNNNNNNNNNNNNNNNNNNNNNGGCGGGGCGGGCUGCCGGGGUCGGGUCGUGCUGACCUGCGGCGACGUGAUGUGACGGGGCUCAGAAAUAGGUGCGCGGGUAGGACAGCGCGACAACAGCUGCACGAUGAGAACACUGGCAGUGCUGGAGUGCCACUUGGGCACCAACUGCUGCAGCCCCACAGCAGCAGCCACUGCCCCAGAGGGCCAACAGGGCCGCUGUCGCUGCUGUGAGGAGCUUGGCACAGAAGAACAUCCCUGGAGCAGCCAUGGUUCUUCCACACAGAUUACCAAUAUCGGUACCAGGCCCUUCCCGUGGCAACAACCCAUGUCCCGCACUGAAAUCACUGUGCCUGGAGGCAGAAAAAGUCAGAUUAUGUAUUUAUGUAUCCAGAAAUUGAGUUCUGAACAACAAAGCUGUGGCUUGGAUAGAUUUUUUGUCACUUCCUUUUUUCUGUGAGCUAAAUGCAUUGAGAUGUUUGGAGAUGUCCCCACCCCAUCUUCAGCCUGAAGCACCACUGAGACCCACAGCUGCUGCAGAACACAAUGAAGCUGCCAGAGACACUAAUGGGGGGGAGCUGAAGGGUUUGUAGACAAAAAGUAAGGGGUGUGCUGUAGUGCCUACAACCAUGGAUUGCAAGAGUACCCUUCUUAAAGCCAACAGAAUGGCAUCUUUUUUGAUGGAAAUAUAACAGUGGGAUUUCAGAGCAUGACCAGCGCCCAGCAUUCAAAACAGCGUGCAUCAGGCCAGACACAAACUGUGAGACUAUCUUUAAGUCAUUAAAAAGAUCCAGAAUUAGUCAUAUUUGCCUUUUAUUUCUGAGCCUUUCAUGUUUUCUUGCUUUUGUGUUUUCA